CCCUUAGAUGUUCUGGGCUGCACGCGCGCUACACUGAUGCACUCAACGAGUUUACGACCUUGCCUGGAAGGGUUGGGUAAUCUUUUUAACAUGCAUCGUGAUGGGGAUAGAUUAUUGCAAUUAUUAAUCUUCAACGAGGAAUUCCUAGUAAACGCAAGUCAUCAGCUUGCAUUGAUUACGUCCCUGCCCUUUGUACACACCGCCCGUCGCACCUACCGAUUGAAUGGUCCGGUGAAAUCUCGGGACGGCGGCUUGGUCGCUUGCGUCCGACUGCUGAAACUUGAUUAAACCAUAUCAUUUAGAGGAAGGUGAAGUCGUANCA
Molecule: ribosomal RNA, 322 nt
Filed under: uncultured eukaryote
Lineage: Eukaryota
Description: partial 18S ribosomal RNA
Rfam family: Eukaryotic small subunit ribosomal RNA
Source: RNAcentral